AAAAAUAAAGAGUUUUUUUUUCUUUGAUUGAAAUUAUAAUUAUAAUUACAAGUAAUACAUCCGAAUAUUUACAACAAAAAUCAAUCAUUACAAUGCACACUGAUUAUUAGACUAGCUGCGUGUUUAUGUACAUGGGUACUACUAUAUUCAUAUACUGUAUCUCAUCAACUCAUACUAUAAAAGAUACUAUAGGCAAAUAAUUGAGCUAAUGCACAUAAAAUUCGUGUUUGAAUGUGGUUAGAUUCUGGGUGAAUUUAAGGGCCUAGCUAUGGGGUGUCACGAGCCUGGCUCCCCUUAAAAUGAAUUUUUUUAAUUAAAUAUUUUAAAAUUUUUAAAAUAUAAAUUAAUAAAUAUAAAAUUACACUUUAGCCCCUAAAAUAAUAAAACUUUGAUUUAGCCCUUUAAAAAUUACAAAAAUAUAAGCUAUUAAAAUGAUGAAAUUAUAUUUUUACUAUUAUAAAAAUUAUAAUUUAAUUUUGAAACUAUAAAAAAUUUUCUCACUCCACCCUAGGUUAACUUAUUUUUGUUCGAAUCUAAGCUUCGAGUGACAUCCCUCAUAAGCUUGUCAAAAUGAUGCAACAAAAGAAUAUACAAAGUUAAAAUCAUGGAAACAACUUUACGUAUUGAAAAUAAUAAUAAUAAAAUUUGUUCCAUGUACACUAUAUAUAACAUAAUAAGUCAGUAAGUUCGUCACUCAUUUGCGGAAACAAACUAGGGCGGGCCAGUCUGCAAUAUGGUGGGCAAGUUUAACAGCAGCAGAUGAAGUGGGUGCCUCUACCAUUGUAAUGUUGUUGAAGUAGAAUACAGCCAAAUUGUUGAUAGCAGAUGCACACUAAAAUAAUGUGUUCAUACUCCUACAUUCAACUUUAAACAAAUAUAGUAUUUUGGUUAGGGAAAAGUCAGCAAUAUUUUUUUUAAGUUAUUGUAAGCACUGAAUUCUCAAUAAUUAAUUUAACUCUAAUUAACUAACUAGCCAAAAUAAAGAUGGAGGACAACCUACAAAUUUAUACAAGAUGAGAAUCGAACAUAAAUCUCAAAAUUAUUAAGGCUUCAAUCUUACCAUUAAGUUAGGGUCUCAUUGACGAAAAAAAAAAAGUCAUACAAGAGAAGAGAGAAUGGCAAACCACCUGUAAUGGUCACCGUCCACCAAAGAGCAGCAUACUCCAUGGUGCAGAGCGAACCGCUCGAGGCACAUCAUGCCUGGAAGGGUGCAGAAUUGAGAUGGAAGAGUUCGGAAUGUCCCAGAUUGUGGCAGACACUUCUAGUUGUUAGAAAUCAAACCAACUUUUCAAAGUCAAAAAUUACAACUAAAGAGUUUGUAUCCAAAUUGGCUUCUACCUCAUACAACUUGAUUUUCAAAUUGAAUACAACUUUUCAAAUUGGAUAAAGCUUAUCAUGUUGGAAACUUCAUGAAAAAUCAAGAUGGUAGCAACAUUGAAAAGUC
Molecule: long non-coding RNA, 1444 nt
Filed under: Gossypium barbadense (sea-island cotton)
Lineage: Eukaryota; Viridiplantae; Streptophyta; Magnoliopsida; Malvales; Malvaceae
Description: long non-coding RNA (GBAR_LNC005743)
Source: RNAcentral